This 823-nucleotide ribosomal RNA is filed under the name uncultured bacterium. RNAcentral's name for it is "bacterial SSU rRNA". It matches the Rfam family "Bacterial small subunit ribosomal RNA", at positions 28 to 868 of the family's 1533-position model. The record is from RNAcentral.
GACGAACGCUGGCGGCGUGCUUAACACAUGCAAGUCGAACGGAAAGGCCCGCUUGCGGGUACUCGAGUGGCGAACGGGUGAGUAACACGUGGGCAACCUGCCCUCAGCUCUGGGAUAACUCCGGGAAACCGGGGCUAAUACUGGAUAUCGACUUCUGCCUCGCAUGGGGUGUUGUUGAAAGUUUUUCGGCUGGGGAUGGGCCCGCGGCCUAUCAGCUUGUUGGUGGGGUGAUGGCCUACCAAGGCGACGACGGGUAGCCGGCCUGAGAGGGCGACCGGCCACACUGGGACUGAGACACGGCCCAGACUCCUACGGGAGGCAGCAGUGGGGAAUAUUGCGCAAUGGGCGGAAGCCUGACGCAGCGACGCCGCGUGAGGGAUGACGGCCUUCGGGUUGUAAACCUCUUUCAGCUCUGACGAAGCGAGAGUGACGGUAGGAGCAGAAUAAGCACCGGCCAACUACGUGCCAGCAGCCGCGGUAAUACGUAGGGUGCAAGCGUUGUCCGGAAUUAUUGGGCGUAAAGGGCUCGUAGGCGGUUUGUCGCGUCGGGAGUGAAAACCCAGGGCUCAACCCUGGGCCUGAUUCGAUACGGGCAGACUAGAGUUCGGUAGGGGAGACUGGAUUUCCUGGUGUAGCGGUGAAAUGCGCAGAUAUCAGAGGAACACCGGUGGCGAAGGCGGUCUCUGGGCNAAACUGACGCUGAGGAGCGAAAGCUGGGGAGCAAAUAGGAUUAGAUUACCCUGCUAGUCUACGCCGUAAACGUUGGGCGCUAGGUGUGGGAACCUUCCACGUUCUCCGUGCCGCAGCUAACGCAUUAAGCGCC